AACUCGUCUGGGAGAGCCGCAGGGAGCACGGGCGUACUGUCGUGAAUCCAGAACGGGGCUGCACCCGACGCACUUGGCACUGGCAGUUUGCAUCAGUGGCGGAUGCAAGCAUGCAAUCCAUGCCUAGUAGAAGCUUAUUCUUCCUCCCUCCUCUUUUUUCUUCGUUUCCUUCUCUUUUUCUUCCUCAAAAGACUCAAGGAGGGCUCCACUGUCCGAGAGGCGGUAGGGGAACUUGAGCCCCACCCGCUCCAUUGCUAGAUCCAC
This 264-nucleotide long non-coding RNA is filed under the name Setaria italica (foxtail millet). Its description in RNAcentral is "long non-coding RNA (SITA_LNC004022)". Lineage: Eukaryota; Viridiplantae; Streptophyta; Magnoliopsida; Poales; Poaceae. The record is from RNAcentral.